Molecule: long non-coding RNA, 368 nt
Filed under: Ananas comosus (pineapple)
Lineage: Eukaryota; Viridiplantae; Streptophyta; Magnoliopsida; Poales; Bromeliaceae
Description: long non-coding RNA (ACOM_LNC038588)
Source: RNAcentral
AGCAUUUUGGGUGGUGGCUAGGCCCAAGAGGUUAAGAGAGUUAAGCGUGCUAGGAUGGGAGUAGUCCUAGGAUGGGUGACCCCCUGGGAAGUCGGGGCGUCACAGAUGGUAUCAGAGCCAAUUACCAGCCGGAAGUGUGAGAUGAGUCUCGGCUGAGCCAGGGUCUGGAUGACGGGCUAGCGAGAUGAGUCUCACAUCGCCUGGUACUUGUGAGUCUGAGCCUGACGAGGACGUCAGGGCUUAAAGGAGGGGAGAUUGUGAGACCCCAGAUAGUCCUAUAUAUGAGAUAUAAUAGGGCUAAACUCUUAACCCGGCUUAAGCAUUUUGGGUGGUGGCUAGGCCCAAGAGGUUAAGAAAGUUAAGCGUGC